Molecule: non-coding RNA, 222 nt
Organism: Desulfobacter postgatei 2ac9
Lineage: Bacteria; Pseudomonadati; Thermodesulfobacteriota; Desulfobacteria; Desulfobacterales; Desulfobacteraceae
Rfam family: HNH endonuclease-associated RNA and ORF (HEARO) RNA
Source: Rfam
GUCAACUACCCCCUCCUGAAUCACAGAUUCAGAAGGGGCUUGUAAAAGCCCGAGUUGACUAGCCUGAGUCCUUGUUAUCGGGGACUACGUUCGGCAGGAUGUAGAUACCUUUGGAUAUAUUCGCCAGUCCAAAGCACUAUCGUGGCUCUGUAAAAGCCCUGUGAGGUAGGGGCGGUCAACCAUAUUGCGAAGCCUGCUGAACAUUGGCGAGGCGAAUCUUAC